AUUGAACGCUGGCGGAAUGCUUUACACAUGCAAGUCGAACGGCAGCACAGACUUCGGUCUGGUGGCGAGUGGCGAACGGGUGAGUAAUACAUCGGAACGUGCCCAGUCGUGGGGGAUAACGUAGCGAAAGCUACGCUAAUACCGCAUACGAUCUAAGGAUGAAAGCGGGGGAUCGCAAGACCUCGCGCGAUUGGAGCGGCCGAUGGCAGAUUAGGUAGUUGGUAGGGUAAAGGCCUACCAAGCCGACGAUCUGUAGCUGGUCUGAGAGGAUGAUCAGCCACACUGGGACUGAGACACGGCCCAGACUCCUACGGGAGGCAGCAGUGGGGAAUUUUGGACAAUGGGCGAAAGCCUGAUCCAGCAAUGCCGCGUGUGUGAAGAAGGCCUUCGGGUUGUAAAGCACUUUUGUCCGGAAAGAAAUGGCUCUGGUUAAUACCUGGGGUCGAUGACGGUACCGGAAGAAUAAGGACCGGCUAACUACGUGCCAGCCGCCGCGGUAA
RNAcentral lists this ribosomal RNA (500 nucleotides) under uncultured bacterium. RNAcentral's name for it is "partial 16S ribosomal RNA". It matches the Rfam family "Bacterial small subunit ribosomal RNA", at positions 30 to 523 of the family's 1533-position model. The record is from RNAcentral.